RNAcentral lists this ribosomal RNA (492 nucleotides) under uncultured bacterium. Its description in RNAcentral is "partial 16S ribosomal RNA". It matches the Rfam family "Bacterial small subunit ribosomal RNA", at positions 29 to 507 of the family's 1533-position model. The record is from RNAcentral.
AGUGAACGCUGGCGGUAGGCCUAACACAUGCAAGUCGAACGGCAGCACAGUAAGAGCUUGCUCUUACGGGUGGCGAGUGGCGGACGGGUGAGGAAUACAUCGGAAUCUACUUUUUCGUGGGGGAUAACGUAGGGAAACUUACGCUAAUACCGCAUACGACCUCCGGGUGAAAGCAGGGGAUCUUCGGACCUUGCGCGAUUGAAUGAGCCGAUGUCGGAUUAGCUAGUUGGCGGGGUAAAGGCCCACCAAGGCGACGAUCCGUAGCUGGUCUGAGAGGAUGAUAAGCCACACUGGAGCUGAGACACGGUCCAGACUCCUACGGGAGGCAGCAGUGGGGAAUAUUGGACAAUGGGCGCAAGCCUGAACCAGCCAUACCGCGUGGGUGAAGAAGGCCUUCGGGUUGUAAAGCCCUUUUGUUGGGAAAGAAAAGCAGCAGGUUAAUACCCCGCUGUUCUGACGGUACCCAAAGAAUAAGCACCGGCUAACUUCGUG